AUGAACGCUGGCGGCGUGCCUAAUACCUGCCAGUCGAGCGAACGGACGAGAAGCUUGCUUCUCUGAUGUUAGCGGCGGACGGGUGAGUAACACGUGGAUAACCUACCUAUAAGACUGGGAUAACUUCGGGAAACCGGAGCUAAUACCGGAUGAUAUUUUGAACCGCAUGGUUCAAAAGUGAAAGACGGUCUUGCUGUCACUUAUAGAUGGAUCCGCGCUGCAUUAGCUAGUUGGUAAGGUAACGGCUUACCAAGGCAACGAUGCAUAGCCGACCUGAGAGGGGGAUCGGCCACACUGGAACUGAGACACGGUCCAGACUCCUACGGGAGGCAGCAGUAGGGAAUCUUCCGCAAUGGGCGAAAGCCUGACGGAGCAACGCCGCGUGAGUGAUGAAGGUCUUCGGAUCGUAAAACUCUGUUAUUAGGGAAGAACAUAUGUGUAAGUAACUGUGCACAUCUUGACGGUACCUAAUCAGAAAGCCACGGCUAACUACGUG
Molecule: ribosomal RNA, 496 nt
Filed under: uncultured bacterium
Lineage: Bacteria
Description: partial 16S ribosomal RNA
Rfam family: Bacterial small subunit ribosomal RNA
Source: RNAcentral